RNAcentral lists this long non-coding RNA (352 nucleotides) under Olea europaea (common olive). Its description in RNAcentral is "long non-coding RNA (OEUR_LNC009909)". The record is from RNAcentral. Lineage: Eukaryota; Viridiplantae; Streptophyta; Magnoliopsida; Lamiales; Oleaceae.
UUCACUGAUUAGCCAAGUGAGUUCGAUAGAUUCUUACUAAAGAAGGUUCAAAGCGAAAGCUACCUAUCUUGAUGCGUUAUCUUUCAGAUAGUACUCUUCUUUCUUCUUCCUUGAUUUGAGUCGACUUCUUCCAUUCAUGUGGGGGAUUGUUGGAAUUAAUUGAAUUUGAUUUGGGUUUGAUUUGGGUUUAAAAUAUUAAAUGUAAUAUUUAAUGAUAUGGGUCAUUGCAAUUAAUUUAAGUGAAUUGGAAAAGUCUCCAAUAUAGGCCCAUAUGUUGACAAGCCCAUUUUAAGUGGUUUUUAUAUGGAAAGGAGUCCCACAUCGAAAGUUUACAAGAAAAUAGUCUUGUUUA